RNAcentral lists this ribosomal RNA (916 nucleotides) under Echinoderma asperum. Its description in RNAcentral is "partial large subunit ribosomal RNA". It matches the Rfam family "Eukaryotic large subunit ribosomal RNA", at positions 55 to 958 of the family's 3401-position model. Lineage: Eukaryota; Fungi; Basidiomycota; Agaricomycetes; Agaricales; Agaricaceae. The record is from RNAcentral.
GGAAAAGAAACUAACAAGGAUUCCCCUAGUAACUGCGAGUGAAGCGGGAAAAGCUCAAAUUUGAAAUCUGGCGGUCCUUGGCCGUCCGAGUUGUAAUCUAGAGAAGUGUUACUCGCGCUGGACCGUGUACAAGUCUCCUGGAAUGGAGCGUCAUAGAGGGUGAGAAUCCCGUCUCUGACACGGACUCCCAGGGCUUUGUGGUAUGCUCUCAAAGAGUCGAGUUGUUUGGGAAUGCAGCUCAAAAUGGGUGGUAAAUUCCAUCUAAAGCUAAAUAUUGGCGAGAGACCGAUAGCGAACAAGUACCGUGAGGGAAAGAUGAAAAGAACUUUGGAAAGAGAGUUAAACAGUACGUGAAAUUGCUGAAAGGGAAACGCUUGAAGUCAGUCGCGUUGGCCGGGGAUCAGCCUCGCAUUUGCGUGGUGCACUUUCCGGUUGACGGGUCAGCAUCAAUUUCGGCCACUGGAAAAAGUCCUGAGGAAUGUGGCAGCUCCGGCUGUGUUAUAGCCUCUGGUUGCAUACAGUGGUUGGGAUUGAGGAACUCAGCACGCCGCAAGGCCGGGUUUCGACCACGUCCGUGCUUAGGAUGCUGGCAUAAUGGCUUUAAGCGACCCGUCUUGAAACACGGACCAAGGAGUCUAACAUGCCUGCGAGUGUUUGGGUGGAAAACCCGAGCGCGUAAUGAAAGUGAAAGUUGAGAUCCCUGUCGUGGGGAGCAUCGACGCCCGGACCAGAACUUUUGGGACGGAUCCGCGGUAGAGCAUGUAUGUUGGGACCCGAAAGAUGGUGAACUAUGCCUGAAUAGGGUGAAGCCAGAGGAAACUCUGGUGGAGGCUCGUAGCGAUUCUGACGUGCAAAUCGAUCGUCAAAUUUGGGUAUAGGGGCGAAAGACUAAUCGAACCAUCUAGUAGCUGGUUCC